GAUGAACGCUGGCGGCGUGCCUAAUACAUGCAAGUCGAGCGAACAGACGAGGAGCUUGCUCCUCUGACGUUAGCGGCGGACGGGUGAGUAACACGUGGAUAACCUACCUAUAAGACUGGGAUAACUUCGGGAAGCCGGAGCUAAUACCGGAUAAUAUAUUGAACCGCAUGGUUAAAUAGUGAAAGACGGUUUUGCUGUCACUUAUAGAUGGAUCCGCGCCGCAUUAGCUAGUUGGUAAGGUAACGGCUUACCAAGGCGACGAUGCGUAGCCGACCUGAGAGGGUGAUCGGCCACACUGGAACUGAGACACGGUCCAGACUCCUACGGGAGGCAGCAGUAGGGAAUCUUCCGCAAUGGGCGAAAGCCUGACGGAGCAACGCCGCGUGAGUGAUGAAGGUCUUCGGAUCGUAAAACUCUGUUAUUAGGGAAGAACAAAUGUGUAAGUAACUAUGCACGUCUUGACGGUACCUAAUCAGAAAGCCACGGCUAACUACGUG
This 497-nucleotide ribosomal RNA is filed under the name uncultured bacterium. RNAcentral describes it as "partial 16S ribosomal RNA". It matches the Rfam family "Bacterial small subunit ribosomal RNA", at positions 28 to 507 of the family's 1533-position model. The record is from RNAcentral.